UACGUAGGCAGCAAGCGUUGUCCGGAUUUAUUGGGCGUAAAGAGCUUGUAGGCGGUUUGUCGCGUCUGCUGUGAAAAUCCGGGGCUCAACCCCGGACUUGCAGUGGGUACGGGCAGACUAGAGUGUGGUAGGGGAGACUGGAAUUCCUGGUGUAGCGGUGGAAUGCGCAGAUAUCAGGAGGAACACCGAUGGCGAAGGCAGGUCUCUGGGCCACUACUGACGCUGAGAAGCGAAAGCAUGGGGAGCGAACAGG
This 253-nucleotide ribosomal RNA is filed under the name uncultured bacterium. RNAcentral's name for it is "partial 16S ribosomal RNA". It matches the Rfam family "Bacterial small subunit ribosomal RNA", at positions 524 to 776 of the family's 1533-position model. The record is from RNAcentral.